AUUGAACGCUGGCGGCAGGCUUAACACAUGCAAGUCGAGCGGAGCGAGGGUGCUUGCACCUUAGCUUAGCGGCGGACGGGUGAGUAAUGCUUAGGAAUCUGCCUAUUAGUGGGGGACAACAUUCCGAAAGGGAUGCUAAUACCGCAUACGCCCUACGGGGGAAAGCAGGGGCUCUUCGGACCUUGCUCUAAUAGAUGAGCCUAAGUCGGAUUAGCUAGUUGGUGGGGUAAAGGCCUACCAAGGCGACGAUCUGUAGCGGGUCUGAGAGGAUGAUCCGCCACACUGGGACUGAGACACGGCCCAGACUCCUACGGGAGGCAGCAGUGGGGAAUAUUGGACAAUGGGCGGAAGCCUGAUCCAGCCAUGCCGCGUGUGUGAAGAAGGCCUUUUGGUUGUAAAGCACUUUAAGCGAGGAGGAGGCUACUAGUAUUAAUACUACUGGAUAGUGGACGUUACUCGCAGAAUAAGCACCGGCUAACUCUGUGCCAGCAGCCGCAGUAA
RNAcentral lists this ribosomal RNA (501 nucleotides) under uncultured bacterium. RNAcentral describes it as "partial 16S ribosomal RNA". It matches the Rfam family "Bacterial small subunit ribosomal RNA", at positions 30 to 523 of the family's 1533-position model. The record is from RNAcentral.